UACGUAGGGAGCAAGCGUUGUCCGGAAUCAUUGGGCGUAAAGCGCGCGUAGGUGGCUUCGUAAGUCCGUUGUGAAAGUCAAAGGCUCAACCUUUGAAUGCCGAUGGAUACUGCGGAGCUAGAGUACGGAAGAGGCGAGUGGAAUUCCUGGUGUAGCGGUGGAAUGCGCAGAUAUCAGGAGGAACACCAAUAGCGAAGGCAGCUCGCUGGGACGGUACUGACGCUAAGGCGCGAAAGCGUGGGGAGCGAACAGG
Molecule: ribosomal RNA, 253 nt
Filed under: uncultured bacterium
Lineage: Bacteria
Description: partial 16S ribosomal RNA
Rfam family: Bacterial small subunit ribosomal RNA
Source: RNAcentral